Molecule: non-coding RNA, 973 nt
Filed under: Glyphonycteris daviesi (Davies's big-eared bat)
Lineage: Eukaryota; Metazoa; Chordata; Mammalia; Chiroptera; Phyllostomidae
Description: partial 12S ribosomal RNA
Rfam family: Bacterial small subunit ribosomal RNA
Source: RNAcentral
CAUAGGUUUGGUCCCAGCCUUUCUAUUAGCCACUAGCAAAACUACACAUGCAAGUAUCCGCACUCCAGUGAGAAUGCCCUAUAUACCAUUAAACUAACGGUAGAAAGGAGCAGGUAUCAAGCACACCAUAAGGUAGCUCAUAACACCUUGCUCAACCACACCCCCACGGGUAACAGCAGUGACAAAAAUUAAGCAAUAAACAAAAGUUUGACUAAGUUAUGCUUAUUAGGGUUGGUAAAUUUCGUGCCAGCCACCGCGGCCAUACGAUAAACCCUAGUUAAUAGACCCACGGCGUAAAACGUGUUUAAGGCCUUCCCUUAUUAAAGUCAAAACCCAGCUAUGCCGUAGAAAGCCACAGCUGUCAUAAGAUCUACUACAAAAGUGACUUUAAAUUACCUGAAUACACGACAGCUAAGACCCAAACUGGGAUUAGAUACCCCACUAUGCUUAGCCAUAAACCUAAAGGAUCUAUCUAACAAGAUUCUUCGCCAGAGUACUACUAGCCAAAGCUUAAAACUCAAAGGACUUGGCGGUGCUUUAUAUCCCUCUAGAGGAGCCUGUUCUAUAAUCGAUAAACCCCGAUAAACCUCACCAACCCUUGCCUGCUCAGUCUAUAUACCGCCAUCUUCAGCAAACCCUAAAAAGGAGCCAAAGUAAGCUCAAUUAUAAUACAUAAAAACGUUAGGUCAAGGUGUAGCCUAUGGGUUGGAAAGAAAUGGGCUACAUUUCCUAGUCUCAGGAUAUUACUUAUUACAUACGAAAGCCCCUAUGAAAUCAAGGGCUGAAGGUGGAUUUAGCAGUAAACUAAGAAUAGAGAGCUUAGUUGAAUGAGGCCAUGAAGCACGCACACACCGCCCGUCACCCUCCUCAAAUAUAUAUUAGUGACCCAUAACCCUAUUUAAUAUUCACUAUCACUACCAGAGGAGAUAAGUCGUAACAAGGUAAGCGUACUGGAAAGUGCGCUUGGAUAACC